ACUCAAAUGAAUUGACGGGGGCCCGCACAAGCGGUGGAUCAUGUGGUUUAAUUCGAAGCAACGCGAAGAACCUUACCUGGGUUUGACAUCCUCGGCCCGCCCUAGAAAUAGGGUUUUCGGAGCAAUCCGACCGAGUGACAGGUGCUGCAUGGCUGUCGUCAGCUCGUGUGGUGACAUGUUGGGUUAAGUCCCGCAACGAGCGCAACCCCUGUUCUUAGUUGCCAGCCUUCAGUGGGGCACUCUAAGGAGACUGCCGUGGUUAACACGGAGGAAGGUGGGGAUGACGUCAAGUCCUCAUGGCCUUUAUAUCCAGGGCGACACACGUGAUACAAUGGUCGGUACAGAGGGAAGCGAAAGAGCGAUCUGGAGCCAAUCUCAAAAAACCGAUCUCAGUUCGGAUUGGAGUCUGCAACUCGACUCCAUGAAGGUGGAAUCGCUAGUAAUCGCGGAUCAGCACGCCGCGGUGAAUACGUUCCCGGGCCUUGUACACACCGCCCGU
Molecule: ribosomal RNA, 499 nt
Filed under: uncultured bacterium
Lineage: Bacteria
Description: partial 16S ribosomal RNA
Rfam family: Bacterial small subunit ribosomal RNA
Source: RNAcentral